UGGGGAAUAUUGCGCAAUGGGGGAAACCCUGACGCAGCAACGCCGCGUGAAGGAUGAAGGCCUUCGGGUUGUAAACUUCUUUGAUUGGGGACGAAUAAUGACUGUACCCAAGGAACAAGCCACGGCUAACUACGUGCCAGCAGCCGCGGUAAUACGUAGGGGGCGAGCGUUGUCCGGAAUGACUGGGCGUAAAGGGCGCGUGGACGGUUUUUUAAGUCUGGAGUGAAAGUCCUGCUUUCAAGGUGGGAAUUGCUUUGGAGACUGGGGGACUUGAGUGCGGAAGAGGUAAGUGGAAUUCCCAGUGUAGCGGUGAAAUGCGUAGAGAUUGGGAAGAACACCAGUGGCGAAGGCGACUUACUGGGCCGUAACUGACGUUGAUGCGCGAAAGCGUGGGGAGCGAACAGG
Molecule: ribosomal RNA, 405 nt
Filed under: uncultured prokaryote
Also listed under: 1 other name
Description: bacterial SSU rRNA
Rfam family: Bacterial small subunit ribosomal RNA
Source: RNAcentral